AGGCCUUUACUGACGCUAAAGCUCGAAGGUGCGGGUAUCGAACAGGAUUAGAUACCCUGGUAGUCCGCACGGUAAACGAUGGAUGCCCGCUGUUUGCGAUAUACUGUGAGCGGCCAAGAGAAAUCGUUAAGCAUCCCACCUGGGGAGUACGCCGGCAACGGUGAAACUCAAAGGAAUUGACGGGGGCCCGCACAAGCGGAGGAACAUGUGGUUUAAUUCGAUGAUACGCGAGGAACCUUACCCGGGCUUGAACUGCAGGAGAACGAUUCAGAGAUGAUGAGGUCCUUCGGGACUCCUGUGGAGGUGCUGCAUGGUUGUCGUCAGCUCGUGCCGUGAGGUGUCGGCUUAAGUGCCAUAACGAGCGCAACCCCUUUCGUUAGUUGCCAUCAGGUAAUGCUGGGCACUCUGGCGAUACUGCCACCGUAAGGUGUGAGGAAGGUGGGGAUGACGUCAAAUCAGCACGGCCCUUACGUCCGGGGCUACACACGUGUUACAAUGGGUGGUACAGAGAGUGGGUCGUCUGCAAAUGCGAUCAAAUCCUAAAGGCCAUCCUCAGUUCGGAUUGGGGUCUGCAACCCGACCCCAUGAAGCUGGAUUCGCU
This 601-nucleotide ribosomal RNA is filed under the name uncultured bacterium. Its description in RNAcentral is "bacterial SSU rRNA". It matches the Rfam family "Bacterial small subunit ribosomal RNA", at positions 731 to 1336 of the family's 1533-position model. The record is from RNAcentral.